This 253-nucleotide ribosomal RNA is filed under the name uncultured bacterium. RNAcentral's name for it is "partial 16S ribosomal RNA". It matches the Rfam family "Bacterial small subunit ribosomal RNA", at positions 524 to 776 of the family's 1533-position model. The record is from RNAcentral.
UACGUAGGGGGCAAGCGUUGUCCGGAAUCAUUGGGCGUAAAGAGCGCGUAGGCGGCCCUGUAAGUCCGCUGUGAAAGUCAACGGCUCAACUGUUGGAUGCCGGUGGAUACUGUCGGGCUAGAGUACGGAAGAGGCAAGUGGAAUUCCUGGUGUAGCGGUGGAAUGCGCAGAUAUCAGGAGGAACACCUAUAGCGAAGGCAGCUUGCUGGGACGUUACUGACGCUAAGGCGCGAAAGCGUGGGGAGCGAACAGG